This 345-nucleotide unclassified non-coding RNA is filed under the name Ascomycota sp. RNAcentral describes it as "partial contains small subunit ribosomal RNA, internal transcribed spacer 1, and 5.8S ribosomal RNA". The stretch from base 1 to 47 matches the Rfam family "Eukaryotic small subunit ribosomal RNA", at positions 1785 to 1831 of the family's 1831-position model. The record is from RNAcentral. Lineage: Eukaryota; Fungi; Ascomycota.
AAAGUCGUAACAAGGUUUCCGUAGGUGAACCUGCGGAAGGAUCAUUACCAUAUCCAAAAAAACUUUACCAACCCACCGUGUGAACUGUUUUUUUUUUCUUGGCUGCGGAAGGGACUGUGGUGUGUGGGUUUUUUGUUGUAAAAAACAAAAAAAGCACAUGGCACGGUUGCUGGCGGCCAGGAGAAAAAUUUCCCAACGUCAACCCCUGGUCAAACCAACUUUUUUUCGAACCUGACUUGGGUUUUUUUGUUUUGCUGCUCACUUUCGAGUGGCCGCCAAACCAAAAAACUCGACCAUAACAACAAAACCAAUAGACAACUUAUAACGGUGGAUCUCUUGGCUCGU